Molecule: ribosomal RNA, 473 nt
Filed under: Fusarium oxysporum
Lineage: Eukaryota; Fungi; Ascomycota; Sordariomycetes; Hypocreales; Nectriaceae
Description: eukaryotic LSU rRNA
Rfam family: 5.8S ribosomal RNA (bases 123-276)
Source: RNAcentral
GUGACAUACCACUUGUUGCCUCGGCGGAUCAGCCCGCUCCCGGUAAAACGGGACGGCCCGCCAGAGGACCCCUAAACUCUGUUUCUAUAUGUAACUUCUGAGUAAAACCAUAAAUAAAUCAAAACUUUCAACAACGGAUCUCUUGGUUCUGGCAUCGAUGAAGAACGCAGCAAAAUGCGAUAAGUAAUGUGAAUUGCAGAAUUCAGUGAAUCAUCGAAUCUUUGAACGCACAUUGCGCCCGCCAGUAUUCUGGCGGGCAUGCCUGUUCGAGCGUCAUUUCAACCCUCAAGCACAGCUUGGUGUUGGGACUCGCGUUAAUUCGCGUUCCUCAAAUUGAUUGGCGGUCACGUCGAGCUUCCAUAGCGUAGUAGUAAAACCCUCGUUACUGGUAAUCGUCGCGGCCACGCCGUUAAACCCCAACUUCUGAAUGUUGACCUCGGAUCAGGUAGGAAUACCCGCUGAACUUAAGCAUA